GCAUAUCAAUAAGCGGAGGAAAAGAAACCAACAGGGAUUGCCUCAGUAACGGCGAGUGAAGCGGCAACAGCUCAAAUUUGAAAUCUCCUUCGGGCGAGUUGUAAUUUGGAGAGGAUGCUUUGGGGUCGUCCCCGGUCCAAGUCCCUUGGAACAGGGCGUCGCAGAGGGUGAGAGUCCCGUACGCGGCCGGGUGGCUUCCCCGUGUAAAGCUCCUUCGACGAGUCGAGUUGUUUGGGAAUGCAGCUCUAAAUGGGAGGUAUAUUUCUUCUAAAGCUAAAUACCGGCCAGAGACCGAUAGCGCACAAGUAGAGUGAUCGAAAGAUGAAAAGCACUUUGGAAAGAGAGUUAAAAAGUACGUGAAAUUGUUGAAAGGGAAGCGUUUGCGGCCAGACUUGACGGGGUUGCUCAACCGGUCUCUGCCCGGUGCACUCUUCUCCCGUCAGGCCAGCAUCAGUUUGGGCGGCCGGACAAAGGCAGCGGGAACGUGGCUCCUCGGAGUGUUACAGCCCGCCGCACAAUACGGCCUGCCCGGACUGAGGACAGCGUUCGCUAGGAUGCUGGCGUAAUGGCAAGCAACGGCCCGUCUUGAAACAUGGACC
RNAcentral lists this ribosomal RNA (599 nucleotides) under uncultured Ascomycota. RNAcentral describes it as "eukaryotic LSU rRNA". It matches the Rfam family "Eukaryotic large subunit ribosomal RNA", at positions 38 to 667 of the family's 3401-position model. The record is from RNAcentral. Lineage: Eukaryota; Fungi; Ascomycota.